AAAAUGUUCUUGGGAGAUGCUGUAGAUGUAUUUGAAGCCAGGCAAGCAGAAGCUAAGAAGUGGCAGAAUGCACCCAGAGUUACUACUGGACCAACCCCUUUCAGCACCAUGCCAAAUGCAGCAGCCGUUGCCAUGGCUGCAACACUUACGCAGCAGCAACAGCCUGCUACAGGUCUGAAUGCAUUCAAGUUAUAGCUUCUUACUGUUCAAAUGCUGAACAUUUAUGUGCAUUUUUAUAAGUCUUCCUUUUGUGUGAGCCCUGAAAAAAUUUCUAUGAACAGCUGUUUCAGUACAGUCUAAAAAUUGUGAUCGACACAAUUAUAAACACACCUGACAAAAAAUGCAGGGUAGUCUAGCAAUAAUUAUACAUCAGAUAUUGACUAUUGUGAAUUAACUCAAUGUUAUUUGCUGUAUUGCUAUAAAUACCCUUUAGACUAUGGUGUUUCGCUACUGAAUUACAUUUAAGAAUACCAUUAGGUUCUAAAAUCGUGAUUGUAUCAUUUUUUGUUUCAAAGUCAGAUAUAAUCCAUCCAUAUGUUGCAUUUUUCAUGUAUGAUACUGAUAGAUGGUGCAUUCUGACCUUUUUCAUACAUAAUGAUUGCAAAGUACCCACAUUCAGGAUGCAGUGUGAUUUUAUUGACUGAAGAUGUGUUGAAGAUCAGUAGAUUUGCUUUAUGUACUUUGACAAAAAACAGAAUACAGGUCCUGUAAGCCAAAUUUUGAAGACUAUACAUCCGAGAAUUAUUUGUUCCUUUUCAAAAUAAGGGCUCAUGGACAUAAAAGAAAGUAGCAAGAGCAGGAAGAGGACGUUUUGAGAUUUGGAUUGCAUGUUAAGUAGGAAGUGGGGAGUUGAGCAGAUGAAAAUAGUGAAAUAUUAGAUCUUUUUAGUCCUUGGUUUAAUUCCACUUCUAAUCAGAGAAAAAAUUUUGUGGUGUAGUUCUACAAUGUUUCAUUUGGUCCUUGGAAAGUAGGGAAACUUUCCUUAUUCAUUUUUGUCAGGCUUUAACUUAGGAAACUAUACUCUUAAUGGAUAUUGAAUUUUUUUCUUUAAUCAUUAAUUUUUGAGGCUUGUUUAUUCUACAGCAUGUGUCUUCUGAGAAUUCCAUAUAAUCUGGCAGUAAAUUACAAUACAAAAAUAGUUUUAAAAAUACAUAUUUAGGUUGCAUUCAAGCUGCCUGUACCAGAGAAGCAUUUUAUGGUAACUUUUGGCAGUUUAACGAAUUCUUCUUCACAUUUGGAGAAAACAGAUAAUGACUAGAUAUCAGUAAAGAGGUGAUGAUGCAUCUAUGCCAAAUCCUCCACAUUCCAUGGCUGGACACAUGUGAAUAGUGGCUCACAUAGCACUAUCUAGUAGCUCUCUAGCUGGCUGGAGUAUAGGAUUGUAUUCUCUCAAGUUAUGGAGAGGAAAAAUCAUAAUGGGAUUGAUUGCUUUGAAGAAUCAAUCCCCAAAUUACAACCAUUAGUUCUUAAUGAUUAUUUAACCAGCUAAUCAAAUCAACCAUAGUACCAGUUUACUUUUUAGAGCCAGUAUUAAUUCUAAAGAAGAUCAGAUAAGCAUGGCUGUGGUUAAGUAUUCAUUAAAUAUAAUUGAUUUCCAAUAUAAUAAAGCUUGAGAAAAGUCAGUUAUCUAAAAUUACUGUAUUCUAUGGUAAAUAAGUAAACUUGAAGCAAAAUUACCUGUCGAGGUUGUUUUGGUUGUUUUUUUGUUUGUUUGUUUUGUUUUGUUUUUUACUUUUUUGAAUGUAAACUAAUUUAG
RNAcentral lists this long non-coding RNA (1756 nucleotides) under Marmota monax (woodchuck). The record is from RNAcentral. Lineage: Eukaryota; Metazoa; Chordata; Mammalia; Rodentia; Sciuridae.